GUAGCGGUAAGUCUCAGUGGAAGAGCUCCCGACCAUUGAUCGGGGCGUCGUCGGUUCGAUCCCGGCCCGCACACCA
This 76-nucleotide transfer RNA is filed under the name Tsukamurella tyrosinosolvens. Its description in RNAcentral is "tRNA-Asn". The record is from RNAcentral. Lineage: Bacteria; Bacillati; Actinomycetota; Actinomycetes; Mycobacteriales; Tsukamurellaceae.